GAUGAACGCUGGCGGCGUGCUUAACACAUGCAAGUCGAACGAAGCAUUUCGGUCUUAAUCUUCGGAAGCGGACUGACCUGACUGAGUGGCGGACGGGUGAGUAACGCGUGGGUAACCUGCCCUGUACAGGGGGAUAACAGUUAGAAAUGACUGCUAACACCGCAUAAGCGCACAGAAAGGCAUCUUUCGGUGUGAAAAUAUUUAUAGGUACAGGAUGGGCCCGCGUCUGAUUAGCCAGUUGGCAGGGUAACGGCCUACCAAAGCAACGAUCAGUAGCCGGCUUGAGAGAGUGAACGGCCACAUUGGGACUGAGACACGGCCCAAACUCCUACGGGAGGCAGCAGUGGGGAAUAUUGCACAAUGGGGGAAACCCUGAUGCAGCGACGCCGCGUGAGUGAAGAAGUAUUUCGGUAUGUAAAGCUCUAUCAGCAGGGAAGAAAAUGACGGUACCUGACUAAGAAGCCCCGGCUAACUACGUGCCAGCCGCCGCGGUAA
This 495-nucleotide ribosomal RNA is filed under the name uncultured bacterium. RNAcentral's name for it is "partial 16S ribosomal RNA". It matches the Rfam family "Bacterial small subunit ribosomal RNA", at positions 28 to 523 of the family's 1533-position model. The record is from RNAcentral.